RNAcentral lists this long non-coding RNA (1550 nucleotides) under Triticum aestivum (bread wheat). Its description in RNAcentral is "long non-coding RNA (TAES_LNC008007)". The record is from RNAcentral. Lineage: Eukaryota; Viridiplantae; Streptophyta; Magnoliopsida; Poales; Poaceae.
ACGAGAGUGGACCGCAGAGAGGAGGGAAGUGAACCGCGACAUAUAUCAAAGUGAACCUCAUUACAAUCUUUGUUGUUGCGCUAAUUUUUUUCGCACUUUCAUGUUGGGCGCAAGUGAACAUCAUCACUUUCAACAGAGAACCACAUCCGAGGACCAAACGCACUGCAGGUGUUUCACUGAUUUUGUGAACCACUAAGGAAGUUUUUAUACCUAAUCACGUGAGGUAACAACGUGAGUUUUCAAACAACACACAUCUAUCUGAUUGUUUUACACAGCCACACACAACGGACCGCAUAAAACAAAACAAAAGUACUGCACGAUCGAGCUAACCAAACUGUGCUCACACAUUUUGUUUUUGCGCAUGUCUAUGGCCGCCGAUGAUGCUCAUAGACACACAUACUCCUUUCAUUGUUUUUAUGGUCACACACAUACAUGCAUACACGUGAAAUUAGGCACUAGCAGCCAGCAUAACUGCAUUUGAACAAAAAAUGACCUUCAACAGAACAUGCAUAUGCGGCGGCUUCCUGUGCACUCGCUUACUGCACGCGCACGCGCAGCAAACUGCAGUGCACCCUGAGCCUGACUAUUGUGCGCCACCGAUGAACUCUGCACAACUUCGUUGCCGGCGGGACAUGGUCCUGGCAGUCCACCCGCCCGCUCGAGGAGGUCCACCACACAACGAACCGAGCGUUUCUCGUCGGUGGACCUUGCGUCGUUGGCCGGUGGACUCCAGCCACACAAAAAACCCAGCACGCCACUUGUAGCCUUCAGAUCAUUGGAGCUGCACCUACCAGCUAUGUGGUCAGCUCGGUGACAACAAAGGAGCACCGGGGGUAGGCACCCAUAGGUUCUUGGUUAAGCUCGGGCAGAAAGGCACGACACUAUUUACCUGCCAGCGGAUGCGCUCGAAUUCGCCGUGCUCAUCGAAGACCUCUGCAUUGAGUGGAUGAAGGGGGAACCACCUGCACCCUUCCCCCUUCCAUCCCGCCUCGGUUUGGUUGAAAGCCGACCUCACGGCAGGGAGGGACGACUUGCAGCCCGUGGAAUCUCAUCGGAGAGGACGGCCUGCAGCCUGCUGGAUCGAGGAAGGGAGAUGAAUGGAGGGCCACGGAGGCCGAGAUGGUCAAGGGGUCGAGGCUGUGCGACGAGCAUCGCAGUGGUCGGCUUCUUCGGUGCGCAGGGGAGAUCUAAAUUCUUAGCCGGAUUCAACAGGGGAGAGGACUCUGAUGGGGUGAGUUGGACGAGGGGCACAAGGGAAGAGAGGAGGGGCGGCGAUGCAUAGUGGGGCGGCCGCGUGGUGGGAUCUGGUGGGGAUGCGGCAAUGCGGUGGGGGAGGGGAGGCGCGGCGGCUGGGAGCGAGAGGAUGCACGGUGGCCGUCGGGCUUGGCUGGGGGAGUGGCGGUGCUGUGGGGUUAGGGAGGAAGGCGCGACGCCGGAAGUGAGAGGAGGCACGGAGGCUAGCAGUGGAUGGGGUUUGACCGGGGAAGAAGGUGGGUGCGGGUGGAUAAGGUUCGACGUGGGGCUUGGGGUGUUUUUUCUUUAGCUUUUGC